GUAGGUUACGUACCCUCAGGACGGGGAUAGCCGGGGGAAACUCCGGGUAAUACCCGAUAAUCUCUACGGAGCAAAGGUGUGAUUCCACCUGGGGAGCGGCCUACGCGGUAUUAGCUAGUUGGUAAGGUAAUGGCUUACCAAGGCAAAGAUGCCUGGGGGGUGUGAGAGCAUGACCCCCACCACUGGGACUGAGAUACUGCCCAGACACCUACGGGUGGCUGCAGUCGAGAAUCUUCGGCAAUGGGCGAAAGCCUGACCGAGCGACGCCGCGUGCGGGAUGAAGGCCUUCGGGUUGUAAACCGCUGUCAGAGGGGAUGAAAUCAUUGGGGGUACUCCCCCAUUGUUGACAGAGCCUCAGAGGAAGCACGGGCUAAGUUCGUGCCAGCAGCCGCGGUAAUACGAACUGUGCGAACGUUAUUCGGAAUCACUGGGCUUAAAGGGUGCGUAGGCGGCCGUUUAGGUAGGGUGUGAAAUCCCCCGGCCCAACCGGGGAAUGGCGCUCUAAACCGUACGGCUC
Molecule: ribosomal RNA, 517 nt
Filed under: uncultured Planctomycetota bacterium
Lineage: Bacteria; Pseudomonadati; Planctomycetota
Description: bacterial SSU rRNA
Rfam family: Bacterial small subunit ribosomal RNA
Source: RNAcentral